UUAGCCGGAUGAUCACAGUGCGGGUGGAUAACGAAAAUAGUCGGUCUGUUUUCGGGAAGUUUUCCAGUGUUGUUCCAGAAAAUCAGUAGUCAGUGGAUGAUGGUCAAUGAUGCGGAUGCGGUAAUGAUAAUGGGCGAUGACACAUUCCAUCAAUAGUGUGAAGAUUACACAACAAUUCGAGAUCCAAACGUUGAAGUCACCAUUGCUCGAUGAAGCACUCUACUUCCGUGUCGAGAGCGAACAACCGGGACUCGGGGAGUUGUUUCGGUGCUGCCCAGAAGGCCCGGAGGGGGACGGACGUCAUCCAAACAGGCGGCUGCCUCGCAACCGUAAAACACCUUGAACUUUUUGCAAUAUGGAUGAAAAAAAACGACCACAACACAAACUCAGAAGUGAGCGACAGAAAAAAAACCAUUAAUUUCGAACUUGAACUUGAAUAACACAACGACCGUCCCGUCACAAACACACACACAUACAGGCAAUGAGAACAGCCGGAGUGAGGUAAGUCCCAAAUCGAUAAUGAUGAUUGCGUGUUGCACUUGGAAUCGUGAGAACUUGAUGGUUGCGAAGUGGGUGAGUGUGCGCGAGUGAGGGAACUCACUGGGAAUCGGUGGAAGGCGUUUUGCUGUUUGUGUUGGAUCGAUGGUACUCACUCCUACACUCUGGUUGGUUAGGGAGCUAACGUUCGAUUGAUCGAUCGAUCGGUGAAAUGGUAAGUUGAUCGGUUCGGCCGGAUGGAUCAACUAUGAUCUUAGCCUGCCAUUCUGACACCACAAAGGAAAAAAAAGUUGAUCGGUUGUGCUUUGAAAGUGUUAAACGAUCGAAAUUAUUAAAGAUCUCGCGUGUUUUUUGUUGGUUUUUUGUGUGUUUGCUUUUGUUGGUCAAUAAGCAUGCUGUCAAAAUUCACUUUGAGAGAAAUUUCCGGACAAACCGUAGCUAACCUAGAAUGGAUGUUAACAUUUUAUGAAAGAGGAAAGUUUUCUCUUUCGUCUGCUGUUGUGAUUUAUAAUCGGCGAUUAAUGGUUUGUCGAGAACUUCCUCUCACAGUGAAUUUUGACAGUAUGCUUAUGACCAUUUUCAAAAAACGCGAGAGAUCUUCAAUUUGAACAAAAAAAAAUAUCUUUUCAUAUGUAUUGAUGUUACGCUUAUAAUAGCCCAGGAAUAGUUUCAAGUUUCAAGCUAACGCAUCGUGCCGUGCCAGAUAAACAGACUUCACGAAAAAGAUACUUAAAUUUUUGCAAGUUGGGGGUUCCCUAAAAUAUCUGAAGAAUGGGAAGAAUUGGUAGAAUAAUCUGUCUAGUAUGGCAGUAGAGCCUAUUGCGACCCUAUUCCGCACCUCUUUGUUUCAAACCAAGCAUAUGGGAUAAUGACAAUAUUUAUUUGGCUAAAACGGGUUUGCAAAAAUAAGCUCAAGUUAUAUUUAUUUGUUGUGGACAUAUUUAUUUAGCACUAUCCUCUAAAUCCAACUAUAAAUAAAAAUUUAAAGAAAUACUGUGUGCCAUGAGCCGGAGAUUACCGCCUCAUAUCUCGCUAUUCCGCCACAAUUAUAUUUAACUUUACGCUGCAGCGCUGAAACAAAUCCUUAUUUUACCUGGAGAAACCGUUUAUGAUAAAUUCACUUUAAAGGCACUCGUUAAACGGUGGGAUUGGUCUAGUGUUAUAAUACGUAAUUCACAUGAUCGCCAUGUUUUUUUCUGAUAACCUACUACAAUCAGAACAAGCUUUUUGCAUCCAGCACACAGGAAAGAACCAGCUGUGCGGCCAAACUAAAACAAACAUCAAAAUAUAUUGUAAUGCAAUUUCAAGUAAAAAUAAACCACUUUUUCAAGUUAUUUAACUGAUUGCUGGUAGCAGCGAUUUUAUUUUCAUCUGGACAUAAAAUUCGGCUCGGGAUGCGACAAUGGUUGAUGUGAAACUAGUCAUCACCAGUUGUUAGUCUUCGCAUGAUUAUUUCCUGCGAGUGCAAUACUGGGUGCUUUUUUUCAAACAGGUGAUGAGGUUCUUUCAUGUGUGUGUGAUGUUUACGUUCGUUCAUAAGCUAAAAAUGGUUUAAUUAUUCCAAAACUGCAUAUUUUAACUUUUACUGCAAGAUAAAUAUUUUGAAGUCGCUCUCAUAAUUCAUUAUUUCUUAUUUCAAAACUUUUUAUUUCGAAAAUGAAUUGAAUGUUUGCCGAAAGCAUUUUAUUUGAAUGGAUAAUUGAAAUUUAGAUCUCUGCUAAAAUCAUUCUACUAUAUUUUCAAAUCUAUUCUAGACGUCCAAGGCCCUUCUAGAACUCUCCUAAAAUUAUUAAAAUAUACCCAUUUCCAACACAAAUUUUAGUACUCAAAAUCCAUCUAUUUUCUUCUAAAAAUAUUCUGUAACAUUUGUAAUACAAAUUGUAAUGUACCCUGAACCGUUCUUGAACUUUCGAAAAAUUAUUCCAAUGUGCCUGUCUUUAUAUUCUAGUACACCUGCAAUCCAUUCUAGUAUACACUUUUAACAAUCUAGGAACCCAUACGCUCAUUCUAUUACAUUUUCAGACCCAUUCUAAUUCACUCAAACUAUUCUAAUGCACACCAAAACAAUUCUAGUACACUCCUAAAAUCAUUCUAGCAAUUUUCUAGGAACAUUCUAAAACACCCCUAAAUCAUUCUGGUAUACCUUAAAUACAAUUCGUGAACUCUCGUAAAAGAAAUCUUAUAUAACCCUAAAAUUAUUCUCAAGCGCUUACAAAUCAAGUAUAAUGCAUCCCUAAAUUAUGGUAGUACACCUUUGAACGAGUAGACCACUAAUCUACUCAAUUCCAAAACCAUCCUUAAAAUCCUAAAAUCAAGGUAAUAUUGAGAGGAAUGCGAAAAUGGUUUCAGGCUGUUUUACGCUUUGCUACGCAUACGUCCCACCUACUUCUCCUAUAUUUUUAUUGGAUUUCUAGUUAGCGUUGACAUAUAAAUACGAAUUCUUUUAAUCAACUUUUGGGGAUGUAAGCAGUACAACUAGCACAAAAAUUAUGUGAAUUUGUUAUUUACGUUUUAGUUAUAGUCAAUUAAAACUCGAAAAUCGCUGUUUUUACAAUAAAUUCGGAUGUGUCUGAACUAAAAAUCCUAGAGAUCUAAAAAAAUUUUGUGCAAGUAUGUUGAACCAAAAAAUAGGUUUUGAGCAGAAUUUUUCGUACGUCAAUUUUUUCGAAAGGAAAUCAAAAUAUGCAAAAAUGGAGUUUAUCAUUUUGUUGGUCUAUAAAAGAUUUUUACAGACAGGGAUAACUUCUCAUCUAUCAUAAAAAUAGACUAUGUAGUUUUUGGGGUCACUGAUUACGAUUAUGAUAACCGAAUUUGAAAUAUCAAAAUGGCGGCGAAAUUUGCGAAUUUUGUUACAAUGAGCAUAAAACUCGAUUUAUGAGAUUUUGGGGUCGCUGAUUACGAUUCUGAUGUCAGAAUCAGAAUCAGCGACCCCGAAAACCCUCCUGUAAAACGUUUUAGGCCAAUAUAAAAAAACACGAAACUUAGCCAAGCAGUCGCCGUAUUGGAUCCGCCAUUUUGGAUUUUUCAUUUUCGACGUUGAAAUCAGUAUCAACGACCCCGAAAACUCCCUUGUAGGACGUUAUAGGCCAAUAUAAAAAACAUGAAAUUUAGCCAAGCACAGUCGCCAUAUUGGAUCCGCCAUUUUGAAUUUUACGUUUUCGACGUUAGAAUAAGAAUCAGCGACUCCGAAAACCCCCUUGUAAAACGCUUAGGCCAAUUAAAAAAAAACAUGGAUAUUGGAUCCGCCAUUUUGAAUUUGAAUUUAACAACGAAACAAUGAAAAAAUCGCGUCGCAAAGGGUUAAGAAUGAUUUUAAAGGCGUACUAGAAUGAUUUUAGGAAAUACUAGAAUGGCUACUAGGGAUACUAGAAUGGUUGAAGGAUGUAAUAGAAUUGGUUUAAGAGGUGUUCUAGAAUACAUUUAGAGGCAUCUUCUAGAACACCUCUAAAACCAAUUCUAUUACAUUCCUCCACCAUUCUAGUAUCCCGCCGAUUGUUCCAGUAAGCCCCUAAAACCAUUGCGAAGCAUUCCUAAAAUCAUUCAAGUAAACCUCUAGAAUCAUUUAUAGACAGCCUGAAACCUUUUUCGCAUUCCCCUCAAUAAUUGUAGUACUAAUUUGAAAACAUGCUUGUAAUUCUCUAAAACGAUUCUAGUACGCCUCUAAGCUAUUCUAGUACAUCCAAAAGCCAUUCUAGUACAUCCUCAAACCUAGACCGAAACCAUUUUAGAAAACCCCUGAAAUUACAGUGAAACUUUCCUAAACUCAUUCUUGUACACCGUUUACAACCGUUCUAACCUUGUACGCAACUCACCUGUAUUCAAUUUCCAAUUCCGCACAUAGGGCUAGAUAAUUUUCCGUUUUUAUCAACUUUUUGACCCGAGUUUGAGUAUUGAAAGACCUUGAAUUUUUGUAACUGGUGGAACCAUAUGCUGUUACUUGGAUUCCGAGAGUUUGCUUGGGUUUUUUUAAUGGCUCAUCCAUAAUUUAUGACGUUUUUCAAAGAAGAAAGACUAUUGUGGCCUUUUGUCAAAGUUUAUGGCAAAAAUUAGAUAGAAACAAUAAAUCACGUGACAUCAUGCAGGGAAACCAUGUCAACUUACGUAAAAAUACGUCGUUUCAUUGAAAAUUGUAAAAGUGAUACAGCUAGCAAUUUAAUAUAAAUUGCAUCGAACCGGCAUGUUUGGUGGCUUCUAAUUGUCGCCAUCUUUUCACAUCGUAUAGAUACGAGUUUUUGAACGUUAGUAACUUUCGUUUUGUACUGAACGGAAUUGCACAAAUUUUGUACCAAUCAUUUGGAAAAAUGUGCACAAAUGACAUUCAAUUUUUCGCACGACGCAAAAACAGAAGCAAUGCGAGAAACCAAAAUUUCACAGUCUAUUUCAGGCACGUAAGAGACCUAAUCGAAUAUUGGAAAGUUGGUUAAGGGCCGCAUGUAUUUUUGUGCGUCAUUCAUCGUUCGCUAGUCGAAUGAGCAGCAUGUUGAUGCGCGGUUAGAUGGUGUGGUCAGAACAAGGCUCUUUAGAUUUUCAUCGCCUAUAGCGUGAUGCGUAGGUUAUUUUUGUUUAAACAGCCUUAUUCUGCAUUUUGGUAGAUCGCUGUUUUGAACGUAUAUGGUUUACUUCCCAAUAAGGGACAGCCAAAUCAAAUGGCUAUCAGAUUCCAUCAAACCACAUUCGUUCGAAAAAUCAAUCCGCCGUAGUGCAGAACAAGGCUGAAUAUUUGUGGGAUGCGCUGCACAGGACCGCAGCGUGCGGUUGACUAGGUUGGCCCCCGCCAAGGGCACCAACCUUAGGGGGCACUGUGAUCUUAAUCUGUUUUAUAAAAAAAAAACAAGUCCGGACAGGAGUGCCAUUUCUAGGUAUUUUAUUGUUUGAAAGCCGAGUUGAAAAAGAAAGCCAAUGUAAAUACCAAAGGGGCGUACUACGCUACGGCCCUUUCAGUCUCAUUCAGAUUUAUUCACAAUAAGUGGUGUUGUCCUCAAAUGUAAAGUGGAUAAAUAAAUAAACAAGGAACAUGUUUCACACUUUUUUGCUCGUUUUCUCAGUUACAUAAAAACAAGUGGACAAAUAUGUGUUCAGGCCCGGUAAAACAGGCCACCUCCUUAAAGCUGUAGCAAAGAUCAUGGAAUAAACCAGAUCAAUUACCAAUCGGGAAAACAGCCCCAUGCCGUAGCAUAAAAUUCUUCGAUGCUGGAAGGAGCUCCGCCAUAUCACAAAGUUGCCAGUACCCAACCUGGACAUAACCGUUCCUACACUAAAUUGAAUCUUUGGUUAUAUUGUCACAUGAGAUUUUUGGUAUUUUUGGAAGUGCUGGAAACUCCUUGUUUAAUCUCAAAUUUCUAAGACCAGCGGCUGUUUGUUUCGAGUUUGCGUCAGGGCUUUCUCGAGCUGAUAUAAUUGGCGGUCUCUCAGGAGAAAAAUUGGAGCCUUUACAAGGAAUCCUGCCUAUAGUUUUUAGGAGCAGUAAAAGAUGUCCCCAUAUGGGAAUCAUACUCUUCCUGAGCCAAGAGAGCAUAAUGAUUUGAUGUGGUGAGUGGUGAAGCUCUUUUAAGUAUUUCCAUAAAGGAGUACUUAGAGCGUCGUUUGAAGUAAUGCUGUAGAUUUCUCGGGAGCUGUCUGUACUCGGAGCAUGGUAACAGAUCAAUCAGUAGACGCACUUUUCCGUAUUGCCAAAUGCUUGAGUCAUCCUCACAAUUCUCUGCCUAACGUCAAUCCUAGCCUUAUUGCUACGAUGGCCCAAUUAUGCAAAUAACCGAACUGAUAAUCUUUUUCGAAGAAGUUGUAAUUAAACGCAAAGCAAUCCGACCAAAGGUCAGCCAACGCGAGUUUGAAGAGACACACCAUGUCGUCUCGUCCAGUGCGAUUGCCAUUCAUAAUCUUUGCGAACUGGAGCAGUGGGUCCUUGAAUCAGCCCCAACCCCGCGCCUCAGUAGAUCCACGCUUGACAAACUCGAGUCGAUGACUACACCGUCGAUUUCAACUUUGUGAGCGGGCGUGUAGAUGUGGUAAUCCUUAACAAAAGGCUUGUCGCCAGUAACCGCAUUAGCUUGCUUUAUGUAGAAUAUCACAAUUCUGAGUUUAUCUGAGCGAACUUUUGAGAUAUCUGUCACGGUCGAAUAUUUUUGCGUCAGAUCCUUCAAAAUCGUUAGAAUAUCUUUGACCGCAAGUACAUCAGAUAUGGACCGACCGAGUUCAAUGUAUAUGGUUUUAAACGGAAAAUCGGAGUCUUUGAUGACGAAUCUUGUCCGACCUCCAUUUUACCAUCAGCUAGAACUUUUCAGGAGAGUUUGUUUAUGAACCGUCCUGGAACCCAGCGUAAAAUGAAAACUGAUAGUAAAACAAAAAAGUAAUCAGCUAUCUUCACUUUAUGUAUAAGCUGUUUGCUGCGAAAUUUCUAAGCAAUUGGUACGAAGAAAAUUUACAAACCUUUUUCAGCUACAAAUCAUAAAUCAACGUCUCCAACAAAAAAAAGACAUGAAAGUUUCUUUGUUUCACUCGCAUAAAAAGAUAGGCGGUCCAGGAUAUUACUGGAAAUUCGCGACGGCACUUGAACUGGUAAUUCAAAUCUAAUGAUAUUUACCGUAAUCAACAAUCCACCAACCAGAUCACAGCUCCUAAAACUUUUCUUCGGUGUCAGUAUUUUGCUAUACGGUGGAGUGUCAAUAUUAAGGAUCUUCCAAACCACUCCGAAAAAUGGGCUUAUGUGAAAUUCGGGCUUUAUCGCAAAAAAUGAUUAUCCCUCUUGAAACAGAUGUCUUUCGUUUAAUUCCACUAUAAUAAUAAUGAAAUGCAGUUGCAUUGCGCAAUCAAGCAACAGAUACUGGCAUUUCGACUACAACGUAUUGUCUUGUUCCGUGUUCAUAUCAGUUGAAAUGUACAUGAUGGUGAAAUUCAACUGCAUUUCAUUAUUAUUAUAGCGAGGAUAAGCGGUGUCGGCACAUUUCUAAGACGACACUAGUAAACCUCUAAACCAUCCUACUUUUGUGGUAAGACCAUUCUAGUAAUUUCCUAAAAAACUUAAAAUUUUUCUAGAGCCAUUCUAAUUCACCAUAAACCCAUUUUUACCUUUUUAAGACGAAUUCUAAAAUCAUUCUCAUAUUCCCCUCAAAUUAUUCUAGUACAGCUCUAAAAACCAUUCCAGUACAGGCACGCGUCUUAGCACUUCUAAUCCUAAUAUCAUACUAUAAAUUCUUUGUGCACUUUCCAUUCAAAAUCUACGCUCACUAGAGCAAAGGGUCUUUGCAACGGUAAACCCCGUGCUUCAGUACAUCUAUGCCAGCCCAACUCGAAUCGGUGACCACACCGUCGAUCUCAACUUUGUGGGCGGAGCUUAUCUUCGAAUUUCAUUCCACCUGUGCAGGCCCGUAGCAUGCGGCUGGUCGGGAAUAGAAAUUUUGAUAUGCUUUAUAAACUUAUUGAGAAUAAGUUAUAAAGUAAGUCAGACUAAGUGUGCAAUUUCCAUGUACACAAAUUGUCAUUGAAAGUCGAACUGGAACGGAGCCAAAGUAAACAAGAAAGGGGUGCAAAACUGAGGCUCCACCGAAGGGCGCCAACAGACCACGGGUCUGCAAAUAACUUUAUUUAGGGAUAUAGCAGGUGUUAGCUCCACCGAUUUUUCGGUGUCCCAUUUCAGAAUGACAGAGACCUAGCGGUCCAUUCCGAGGCUAUUUUUCCUUCGACAAACCCCGCUCAGAUAUAACAUGUGUACCAAAAUUAUACCAGUAUUAUAAUCAAUCUACACACCAAAAAAUAAUGAAAUUUAAACGACAUGUAAAUCAAUACGAAUGUACACAUACAACGAUUGAAUCAAAAAUUUGAUUGAAAAUUACGUUAAAAUCAAUUGGAGCAUCAAACAGCAUACAAUUUUACACUUUCGUUCGUGUAAUAUUACAUGUCAUUCAUUUUACAGCAGUACUCGAGUAAAAAUACAUAAGAAGCGCAUUGGUUUUCCGUUUAAAGAAACUGUAAUUUUCAAUCCACGUGUAAAAUUAUAAUAAAAUUUGUUGAAGAAAGCACGACAAGUCGUGCGUGUUUGUGGUGGAACUUAAUUUUACAUUUAUAUUCAUGCUCCAAAUAUGUGCAUGAAAAUAAACUUAAAAUUACAAAAUAUUUUUUUCUGUGUAUAUAAAUUAGUUUAAAUUUACUUGAAAACAUAAAAGCAUUUAGAAUUUGCCGCGAGUUCCUUAAUGUUAAGCUUCCAUUGGAGCAAUUAUUUUCGCACUCCAAUACUGGUUUGACUAAUCGGACAAAGUGGGCUUCACGAAUCGUACACAGGUUACAAUGGACGAGAACUGUUCUUCAAAUUUGAGACUGACAAUACAAAAUAAGACGGGAGCGAAAAAAAAUUUCACAUUCACUGGCAAUGAUUCCUAGGAUCGUUUUUCUUCUUGUCGGCAACUUGACAUUUUCUAAAAAAAUAUGGUUUUACUAUUUUCGUUCUGAUUUGUGAUUAUUGAAGCAGCAUUAAAAAUCAGUGUGAAAGGUUUAAUUUUAAGUACUAACAACUUUAAAUCUGUUUAUUUUACACGGGACGUUGCGUUAGCUUGACGGUGCCAUUCAUUUUGUUUUACAUUUUUAAUUUCUUCAAAUAAGACUAUUGAAAUUCUGAACUAGGUGAUCAAUUCUAUAGAUUUAUGUAAAAACUAAGGUAACUAGUAUUACAUUUCGAUGUACAAAGGGGAAUUAAUCGAAUUUUGUUAUAUUAAGAGGGAGAGCUUAACCAAGAACUAGAACUGCAGUUUUCCAUUUCUUGAGCGUUUUUUCAAAACGUCAUAUCUGCAAUGAGUUACUCUCUUUGUUUACUUUCUCUUCUGUUAAUAAUUCGGUCAUUUUAACAUUUAUCCCUCAACUCUUUGCAUUAUAUGCUAGUUAAAACCACCGUAUUUCGAUCUGUACUGUAAAAUAAGUGAAAAGUGUUAUAGUGACGCCGUAAAAAUCGAAAGAGAAAGUAAACAAAGAGAGUAACUCAUUGCAGAUAUGACGUUUUGAAAAAACGCUCAAGAUUUUUCCAAUAUUUUUGACCCGUUUUCAAAUAUUUCACAAACACUCGUAAAGUCUCUAAUGUCAUUUUCGUUUUUGACUGUGCACUACACCGGUGUAGUCGGUGCUACACUCAUUCAAACUUGGGUGUAAUCAGUCUGUCUCUUUUUUUGCACUACACCGGUGUAGCACCAGGAAAAAAGGUGGAAACGCUAUAAGUGUAAUCAUGCUCUGAGUAGUGCAUUACGAAUCACACUGCCUCGUGUUCGCAAUGACCCGUUACGUAACACUCCAUCCCAAGAUUAUGCAGCCGUACACAUCGGCAGUCUUCCGUAUGCUUGUUUUCAAUCAAUCAGAGUAGUGACAACUACCGACUUUGGAUCGACACAGCUAGAAGCUAGAGAGAGAGAGGGGGAAAGAUAUCGAGGCCAAGUGCCACGGUUUGUCACGUGCCGCCAACUGUUCCCGAAACGUGACUCUCGGUCUCUCUUUUUCACUCACCAGUUCUCUCAUCCUCUCGUUUGAGUUCCUACGCUUCUGAGCUAGUAGUACAUUAGAAAACAACUUCCUCCCUAUACAAAACAAUUUUAUAUCUGUAAUACAGGCACCUCAGCCACUGAUCAUCGAUUCUCCGGUUGAGUGAGUGAGUGAUUGAGCGAAUAAGUGUGCACCGAAUGAGUGAUUAUAGCAUUUUUGAAAUUUCGAACGAAGCGGUUCGCGUCUCGAAUAACUGUUAUACCUACCUAAAAUGCACCAAACUAGUUGGGGUUAUGCGCUCCUCCGAUCGAUUCAAACUACCACCACAGUUCGAGAGAUUUUCGGCUACCGGGAUACACCCUGUGCUCGCUUUGUAUUCGCUAUUAGUGAACACAGCUGGUGGUAUCUCAGUGGCCCUAAUCCGAUUGCAGCUCAGAAACCACCACCACCACCGCUAGUGAGUGAAUCGGCGGUACCGCGUCGUCGAUGAGAGAACGGAAGCAGAAAAUGUUUGAAAGAAAGCUCCGCUGCUCUCUGUAACGUCUGUUGAGAGCGCGAUGGUGUCGGCGGAACUCGUGGGUGAAGCAAAAAAGAGUGGAAAAAGCUCUUUUGUGUCUAUUAUGGUGAUCGAUUUUAUAGCACGUAGUCACAAGGUACCCGGCGGCUGCAUCCACCACCCGUAGUCGCUCUCUUUUCCUCGGAAGAUGCACUUUUUUCGAGCUUUUUUGUUUUACUUUGUUGCAUUUGCGUCAAUGUUGUGGGGUGGAAUUACGACAGAGCUUGCUAGUGAAAAAUAUGAAUGUUUUCACGUCGGCGAAAUCUCCGAGCUCAGCUGCGGCAACCACGCAACGUUUUUUGGGCGAUAAAAAAUUCCUCAACAAACGUACGAUUAGGGCGUAUAAACCAACUGUCAAGCUUCACUUUGAGAGUGGAAAUUUCGGACAAACCGUUAUUCGCCAAUUACAGAUGUUGGUAGAAAUACAAAAGAGAAAAGUUUUCUCUUUCGAGUACUGUCUUCGGCCAGCAACGGUUCGUCCGGUAUUUCUUUUCAAAGACAAUUUUGACAGUUGGUUUUUACGCCGUAGUCAUAUUUUUGUCGAAAAUCGGUUGUCGGCGGUGGAACUGGGAUUGAGGUUCGCCCCCUGGGAAUUUCCAAGCAUGCUUUCGGUUGUCCAUGGAUUAAGUCUACUCAAAUUUUAAAGCUGCAAAUGAGAGACUCUGCUUACUUUCUUUUUCGAUGAUUGCAAGAUUAUAAAAUUUUACUAUCAUUUUACAGUACAUAUUAAAAUACAACAAUUUUAGUUAGUGUAUUAUGAAAUGAGUUACUUAAAACUUAAAAGCAGCCGAGUUAUCAACGUAAUGGAAAGUAAACAAUGGAAGGCUCUUAUUUGAAUUUACGUUGUUUUUAAAAGUUAUGGUAGAAUUAUAAAGUCACUCAUUCUUGGGUCUCAACGACAUUUUUCUAGCUCAACGUUUCGCAGCUGUGUACUACAUAUGUUCAUUAUGCAGAAAAGUAACAGUAGGCGGGUAUUUUUUUUUUUCAGAAUGAAAGUAGAAGCUCAACAGUCUUAUCCAGCAGCGUUGAUAUUGAUCCGUUUUGACAUUUUAACUAAGGAAAACUAAUUUUGUGCGUGGCGUAUUUGGAGGUAAAUAAACGACUCCUAAUGGAGAGAACGGUAGUGUAAAAAUGCGUGAUCUCAGGGUGCGUAUUGUAAACGUCACAUUCGAAAGGAUAGACCAAUAAACCUGAGCAACAUUUUCAAUAGGACGUAAGUAGCCUUAUUUUAUUAACAUUAUUUGUCGAAUAUUACUGAAUACUUGAAAAUCUUUUCACUAAUGUUCCUACACUCGAAAAUUAAAAUAAACAAAAAUCUCAUUGUUUAUUACGUCCAAUUGGAAAUUAACCAGGAAUUAUAAGGAUUAAUGCUGAUUAAUUAAUAGUGUGAAGAAACCCCAUGAAAUGUUUUGCUUAAAAAGCAAUUUUUAUUUUCCUUUUGUACCCAAUAAUAUUCACAACCUAGAAGUAGCGUGCCCUACUCACAACUUGAACUUUUAGGUACCGCUUAAUUCGAUUCAAUUUUUUCGCAACUUUCUCCCGAAUUUUGUUUGCCAGUAUUUUGACCACACCACUUGCUCCCAUCCAGAUGUACGGGACAGUAGCCUUCUACCCGAGAAAUCUGAUCUGAGUAACCGUAUCAGUCCUUGGUCCCCCACAGUAUUGCGCAGUAGUUCCGCGAAGCCACCACGAGAACCAGAAAAAGCUUUUGACCAACCAUUGACGACCAUUCAAUCAUGUAAGAAUCGACUCUAUAAUUAGGUUCUCUUUCGUGCCCCUCCCCCCUUUUCAUUCAUUUCUCCCACCGAAAAAAAAACGACUGCAUCGGCGGGGUGACUAGAGAAAAAAAAAUCGCAGCAGCCCCAAUUCAAAUUGCACACAUCCUAGUUCGUCGCUGUUGUGCUAUCUUAUGACAAACGCCAUUUUGGGGUAAACUGAGUUAGAUAUGCCACAUUACUCGUCUAACGAAUCUCUACAAGAUGGCGUUUCCAGAAUUUUGAAAUUUUGCUUGGUUACUGAAAUAAAGCGAGAAAAGUGAUAAGAAAUUGUGAGUUUUUUGUUUCAAAUCAUAAUAUCUUAGGAUUGGCUCAAGUUAUAAUAAAGUUUUAGUUGCUUUUAUGUGUAAAAAUGUCAUCAGAACACAAUGGCAUAAUAAUUUUCAAAAGAAAAAUGCAUGUAUUGGGAGAAAAACGCAGUUUUAUCUUUAAACUGGAAAUAUUGCCUAUUUGGCAACACUGUAACUAAAAAUAACUAUUUUUUCUAGAUUCCCUGACUUAUUUCCUUCAAAAUGCAUCUAACCGAUUGUUUAUAGGACAAAUUAAGCCAAAGAUAUGAAUAAAAGUUUAUAAUUGGUGAUUUUUUUCUAUGGAAAAUUUUUCAUGCACGAUUAUGACACGUCAUACAAAUUUUUUCAUCAAUACACACCUAUGACACGUGUGAGUGCGACUUUUGUUUACAUUUUUAGUGAAAACUCGCAACAUAGUCAACCGAUUUUCGUAAUAUUUGAGAGAUUAUUAUAGAAUAGGUAGAACCAUUAAUUGUCUUCUCUGAAUUGUUUCUACCAUUUAUAAGUUUCAUGAUAUUCAAUCUCAAACUUUAAAAAUCGUUUUUCUCGAAAUGUGCAAAAUGGCGCUUGUCAUAAGAUAGCACAACAGCGACGAGUUCUGGUAAUGUUAAUUUAGUUUUAUUUUUAUAACACCUUCGUUCAAUUGGGUCCCGUUCGCUUGCGCGCACUCGUUUUUAGUUUUAUUUUCAAUCCCUGCAUUGCACUGUAAUGCACUGACUGACUUGCCGCGAAAUUGGCAGCAGCAUCCAAGUGAACCAACCGAAAUUCCAACCCCGAAACAUCUUAACCUUUUUGACUUGCACAUCGAGCUGUAGCUGUUGCUUGCGUUUUUGUUUUUUUUUUUUGUUUUGGGAAGUGCACCCAAAUCAAGUCAAAAUUGAAACAAUCGUGUUUUUCUAUCUCUUUUCUUCGGCAUUCAACCCCUACCUCAUCGACCAAGCGAACAUAUUUGUGUACUACUAUUGUUUGCCAACGAGUCAAGGGCAAACUAUUUUUUUUUUGGUUCGAGUAAACCAACCUAAGCGAGGCCGCGCGGUUUGGGUAUAGACUAGGACAGAAGAGGGGGCAGUCAAAAUAUCAGAUUUGUCAUUCUCGAAAUGCGCUAUUUUGCUCGGUGCACUUGUUGGCCAAGGAAACCCAUUCCCCUCAGCGGACCUCCACUUAACCCGUGUUGAAGUGUUUUUUUUGCUCUCCUUCGACGGUGUUCGAAAAUAAAUCGAAACUUACAUAAAACAAACUGCAUUUGCCAAGUUUUCUUCUGCUUAGCAGAUUGCUUCUUUUUUUCUUUAAACCCUUGUGACGCGUUUCAUAUGCGCAUCAUGAGCAAAAAUUUCGAUUGAUUGAGGGAUUUAUUCCUGCAGUUUUGUUAGGAAAUUAUUAUGGAAAAAGGAAUGAUUAAAAAAACGACAAUUUUGAUACCCAAAAACUGGAGAAGGUAUCCUGCACAUCACAAACGAAAAAAAUCUAUUACCAUUUUCAUAAUUUUUUCAUAACGAUAAUUCGUGCCAUAAAUUCCAGACACAUUGUGUAUCUUAAAUCGAAUCGAAUCGAAUCGAUCGUGUUCCGUAUUACAGUUUUCGAUUCGAGAUUGAAAAUAGAUUUUUAUUCGAGUUUGUUCGAUGAAGUGCUAGAUUAUCGACAUUUUUCUGGUUUCAAAUUCAAAUUACUAAAAUCUUAUUUGUUGUGAUACGAUUUUCUGUAUGUUUGCCAUUGUCGACAGUAGGAAAUGUUUGCCUUAAAGAACAGCUCAUGGAAUAAAGAAUGGAAAAUUUCUACAUCUAUUGUUUUUUCCACAUAUUUUUCAAUGCAAUGACUAUGGUUUUUAAAUUGGAUCUUUCGGACCAUGGUGAUGGUAUUUUCAUGGGUUGAACCCGUUUCAAUCACUAUCAAAACACCAUGAUCCAGAUGAGUGAGAUUUUGCAGGAUGGUAACCAAAUAUCCAAUAAACAUUGUAACGUAGCAUUAUACUAGUUCUAUAUCUGCAUAUAGGGCAGGUCAUCAAGAGCCGUUAACUUUUAUACACUGAUUUAUUGCUGAUUUAUCAUUGCGCUGAGAUAGACAACAUGUUUUCUGAAUUACCUACGCUAUUGUGGAGCACCUUAUUCACAGAGUCACGUCACUUAGCGACUAGAAGGAAAUUUCCUUCUAGACACUAGGUGACGUGAUUAUGAGAAUAGCGCUCCUAAUGUAGAAAUGUGAAAAUUGAAGGCAUCUUAUCGACACUAUUCGUACGGUUAGACAUCUUUAGUGAGUCUUAAACAGAAGUACCUUGGAUCAUCAUUGACGGCAAGGGCUCUUCUUUUGCUGCUGAUAGCGCAUAUUGUUUUUUCGGGAAGCAGAAGGCAAAUGAUUAAAAAAUUGCGCUUUCGUUUACUUUCAGUACGUCAGGAACGGUUUUUGGAACAAAAGUCAAGUAAGUGGCUAUUUCUGGUGAGCAUUUGAUUGCUGAAUUGAUUGGCAUAAUUAUACACUGAAGACCCCUUUUUAUCCGCACCCGAUUUUAUCAGCUUUUUGACCCAAUUCUAUCAGCUUCAUAUGAAAAUUGAUAGUUGGUAGUAUGAUGGGCUCUAGCAGACGAACCAAGUUGAAUUCGAGUUCCUUUCUUGAGUAUAUUUUUCUUAUCUUAGAGAUCCGAAAUAUGCCAAAAAAAUUUGAAUAAUCAGGAAAGGUUAUGAGGUUAUAUCUUGGGACUAAAGAAAAAUAUUUUAAGAACUUCGGUUUCUUAAAAAGAAAGAAAAAUAUAUGUCCCGAUUUUGUCAAUGUCCCCGUUUUAUCAACCUAAAAUUCACCAAGGGGCUUAUAAAAAGGGGUCUUCACUGUACUCAGAAAUUUAAAAAAAUUAAGCGAAAAUAAAAUUAUAUAAAUUGAAAAAAAAAACAAGAAGAAAAUCACAAGGUUGAAAAAAUAUGGUAAAUGAAGCAAACAGAAGAAAAUUAAUGAAAGAGAUUGACUUGAUGUUAAAUCGGCUUUUUUUUAUAAUUCUUCGUCAAUAGCACAAAAUCGAAAAAAAUCCGACUUAAAUUGAUAUGUGCAUCAUUUGCAUAAAUUCAGGGAUUAAGUUGAUUAUACAGGGUGUUUGGUUCAUGGUUAAGAAUCUCUCGGGGGUGAUAGACUGCCAUAUUUGGAGAAAAAAAUAGUUCUACACAUACCAUCAAAUCUCAACCGUUACAGAGUUAUUGAACUUUUAGUGUAAAAAACUUAUUUGACUUAAAAUACCUCUAACUUUAAAAGUAUACUUUGUAUUUUAAAUGUUUUAGUUCCAUUCGAAAGGUGAGAAAAUUUCGCAUUGAGUGAUGUCCUCACAUGUUUCAGCUAAUGAGUUUAAGUAGCCUUUUCAAGGUAAUUUAAUGAAAAUUAAACAAUUUUAAACGAUUUUUCGUUCAUUUUUUGAAAAUCCUAAUAGUUAACCUCACCAUUUUAAUAAUUCAGAUUGUUAGUCUUGAUGAGCUGCUUAAUUCGUUCUUUGACAUGAUACACUUACCUUUUCUUAUUUUCAUGAUUUUGGGUUAUUCAACUUGGAUAUUUUUAUCUCAUUUUCACUAGUACCAGCUCUAAUUGAAAAAUUACGGCACUUUUUGUACUUUUUUUCUUUUUAUUCAAAAGCCAGGAAAAUUUUACAGUGAAAAAUGUAUUAAUACCUUUCAGUUAAGUGAAUUUAGUAUUCUUUUAAAAUUAAAUUAGUUUAAAGUUAGUGCUAUUAUUUUUUGCAUUUUCGUUAAUUUUCUUAAAAUAGUAAAUAAUGCAUCUCAGCAAGUUCUACAGUUCUUUCUUUGACGCCAUUCAAUUAUCUCUUUCGGUUUCGACGCAAAAUCGUUUUUAUCACAUCGUUUCAUAUGCAAAAAUAACGAUUUCGAACCAACUACAUUUGUGGCGAGCUCAUGCUGUGUUAACUAUUAAAUAGCAGAAAAAUGAAAAGAGAUAUAGAAAAAGUGUCUAAUAAAAAGUUAUAGAGAACAUUAAGGGGCAUCAAAUGAACAAUAGUAACGAUAAAUUUUGUUGAUUAAUAAUUAGAAUAAUUAAAAAACUCCAAAAAACACAAAUUUUGAGUUAUUGCGUUAGAAAAAAAUCAUUUAGACCUCUUAACAAAAAGAUAUUUGUACAUACACUGAUAGGACAUUUUCUCAGCUUUCCAAUGAAAUCUUGUAAAUAACGAUAUAAAGCAUAUUUUUUAGAUUAAAGUCUUUUAAGCACUUGCAAGUCGGUUACAGGAAAAGUAUAGUAAUGAAAUUACAAAGAAAUGAGAAGAGAUAGAAAUAUGAUGUCCAAGAACAAAUUAUGAAUCGUCCUAAAACCCAACUUUUGGAUAAUGGAUGUUGCUAUAAUCAUACUUCAUAAUUUCGAGAAAAUUAGCAAAAACCUCCUCAAAAACACUAACUUUUAACUACUUUACAGCUAAAAGGUAAUUAAAACUAAUUACUUAAAAGAUAUGAUAACACCAUUCAAUAGGAAAUUUUCUCACCUUUGGAACUGAAAUAUUUAAAAUACAAAGUAUACUUUUAAAGUUAGAGGUAUUUUAAGACAAAUAAGUUUUUUACACAAAAAGCUCAAUAACUCUGUAACGGUUGAGAUUUGAUGGUAUGUGUAGAACAAUUUUUUUCUCCAAAUAUGGCAGUCUAUCACCCCCCAAGAGAUUCUUAACCAUGAACCAAACACCCUGAAUAUAGUUGUUAAUGUUGAGUUCUGAAAAUAUUUUCCUUCUUGUCAUCAUGAGCUGUUCUUUUAGUAUCUUUCUAAAGUAUGUAUCUACAACAAAUUAUUAUCAUGUAGUAAAAUUUAUAAAACAGACGAUCAUAAUCCAAUCCAUGAAACUAAACACUACAGAUCCUUCCUGGCUGGGACUCGAACAUAGGAUGAGAGGCUUAUGAGACCAACGUCUUACCCUCUCAAUUCGCUAGACAGGCUAACAAAAUAUGAAAAAAAUGGAAUAAGAAUAAAAAAAAUUAAAAACUCUAGACAACAAAAUGAAAAUUUAUUUUUUUUAAUUAAAAGAGGGGGAAAACUCACAAAAAUCAAAAGACUAUUAGAAUUAGAUUAGAGAUUAGAAAGCUGGCCGGAAAUGUAUCAUUAUUGAUUUUCAAAAUAUUUGAGAAAAGCGGAAGAACAGAAGAUUUAAAAACAAUUAAAAUUAAAAUUGAAUAAAAUAAGUAAGCUUUAAAAAUGUACAAUAAAAGAGAUAAAAAUGAAAUGGAAACAAGAGAAAAAAUAAACACAAAUGUAUGGAUUGAAAGAAAGUUAUGUAAAAAAAUUAGAAAAGAAGAAAAAUGUAAAAAGCACAUAAAAAAUAAAGAAAAUAAUUAACAAAUGUAGCAAAAAUGUAAAAAAAACGAAAAAGAAAGAAGAAAAGUAAAUAUAUAAAAAUACUGAAAAAAUAAAAAAAAAUAAAAUUAUUGAAGUAUUAAAAACAAAAAAAAUUCGGUGUAGAAUAUUGGAUUUUAUAAAUGGGUUAAGCUGCACAAGGUCAAUAAAAAUAUUAGAACUAGAAAAAAAUGUUGACAACUAAUCAACAUUCUUAAUAACAUUAAAAACAUUUGAAGAAAUCUGAAGAUCUUAACGGACCACUUCAAUGUUAUCUGUGAUAAUAGCGCAUCUGUAUGUUUUCACGUUUUCCUAUGCAUUGGUAAUGUGCAUUGCCUCCAUUAUUCUUUGAUACCUAAAAUAAAAGUCGAGAAACAUUAAGAAACGCUCAGCGAAUCAAAAUGUUUAUCCGUUACGAAGAUUUCCUGUCCCAAAAAUCUGCAUCUCAGUUCAGAUCGCCGCAGUAUGGCGCUCUCUGACACUGCAGCACUCUGGGUCAUUUAUCUCCGUAAGUAAAUAAUAGAACUCACUCAACAUACCUUGAUCCCUUUAUGAUAAGUAUUAGAAGCUUUCCUAAUUUAUAGUUCCCUGAAAAAUAGUGCCGAAACAGAAAUUUCCUGUCCGUAAGUUUUGUGUAAAAACAUGUUUGUUUACAUGUCCAUCGGCAACACUAUAGCAUAUCAGAAGGCUUUCGAGCACUACGUGAAAAUCAUUAGAUUGUGGUCAAAAUUGGAUAUGUAAUCUUGCGAAACACACAUAUUGCAUCAUAGUAAAAUGUAAACAUGAAAUAAGUCUUUGAGAGUAAGUUUUAUUUCGGAAAAAGUAAUACAGGUAAGCAUUUAUCUCAUUUCUUUGAAAUAAAGCUAUGAACAUUUGCUAGCAUAAUUGACCAUUCAUUAUCGAUUGUUUGUUACAGCGUGAAAGCUUUUUUGGUAAAAUCAUAUCUCAUGGCCAGCUAGCCACAGUUUCGCUUGUUUGUUGAUACAAAUGACUUGACUUGCAUUGAUGUCAAAUUCUAAAUCUAGGCCGCAAGUUGAAAAGGGUUUAUAUUACUUUUGGGGAAAUGAUGUUUUAUUUUUUCACGUGCUACUAAGGGCAUUGUUGUACAUUGUACCUGUAAUGUAACUGUAUGUUUAUUUCGGAGAUAAAUUUGUAUCAGUAUAAUAAUUGCAAUGUAAUAAGCCGACAUCUAUCAUAUUGCACGACACAUAACAUGUGACUUUUGUAAGUAUUCUGUAUAACAAAAGAUAAACUCAAGUUUACCGGGUACCAUACAAGCGUAUUCAAAUUGAUGGUUCAUUGCAUGCAUGCUUGGCACAAUCAAUCGAAACAAACGAGGUGUAUUGUCAUGGAAAAUUCAGCCACGUUUGACGAAUAAAAUUAAUAUAUUCGUUUGAUAUAGAUCGUUAUUUUCAACUACUUACGAGGAUUACCAUUUUUUUCGUUCACUUUACGGACUGUGUGCAGGAGCAUGGUGUACGAUUACGCCCUUUUGCCAUAUGUUGUAUGCAAAAAAUCGUCAAAAUGUGUCAAUUUAGGCGUCAACAAAAACAAAGUAAAUCCAUCGUUCCCAAGAUUCGACACAAAACGGAACAUCGGAUGCAAAUGUACUGAAUUCAUGAAUUCUUUUUGAAUUGACCUCGGACAUUUCAUUACUGUUUUGAAAGACCAGUUCUAUAUCUCUGUACUGCCAGGUCAGGCACGUUUUCAAUAUUGGUAAAGGGUUACAGCAGCGUAUGAUCGAGAGCUGGUGGAUGAGUAAACAAUGCGAAGUCUUGUUUGUUAUAUUAUAAAUAACUGAACAAUUGUUUUUGUAGCUAGUAACCCUUCUAAGACAAAAUUUUGAAACAAAUCCACGUAAUGGUGUGGUUUAUAACAUUCAGUCAUGGUACUAGUCAAGUGAAUAGCAUGUUCGGUAAGAAACGACCAAGUACCAUGCGAACCUCAGAAACACGGAGAAGAGACAGAGGCUAGUGAUAUUGUAGUGCUGCCAAAGGACCAAAGCACCCUCAGUGUUUUCGAGUGGGAGGUAUUGUGAAACCUUUAUGGUGGGCAGCAGAUAUAACAUAAACCAUGAAGACAACGUAUGGAACACGAAUUGCGACAACUGCUUGAAUAACAUCCCCGUCGUUCAUAUAACAACAGCGGAUCCAACAGAAGGACAAGAGAUGGUCAGCGGGCGAAAAAAAUCGACAAGAUUGCAGGUGAUAUGUAGAGUCUUCCUUUCCUAGGACGACGUACGGUCAUCGACUAUGAGGACUAGAUACGCAGCAAUAGACAUCCAAUGAGACUUUCGUCGUAUGUUCAUGAACCGAUCUGCAAAUACUGUCAGUGUCGUGGUGUUCAUUUCCUGCAAUUGUCCUAUAUACUGAAUGUCUGCUUCGAAAUCUCUUGAAAGGCGCGGAUACAAUAUAGUUUAUAAAUGGAUAGUGUGGUACGCAGCUCACCUGGGUCCGAUUCGAAACCAUCGCACGGGUUUUCCUAACCCUGAACAAGGAGUUAUGGUUGAAAACUUCUUCAAUAAAAAAUCUGUUGAAGCAAAACUAAUUAUACCCAAGGACUUAUAAACAGUCGUUUUUUUUAAAUUAGCUAUACGCUCCACACACAGGGGUAAACGCUGUAUUGUAUUGACGUGAAAGUUUCCAGCUGGUAUCAGUAAUGCUUGGCAGAUGAUUAUUGGAAGAAAAGGCAACUUAGUAUCUGGAAAGCGUCGUCACAGUCAAUUACAUUGCAACUGACUUGCAUUGAAUUCUUCGAUUCUCCUAUAUAAUUUUUCUUUAGAAAUCAGUUUGAAAACCUACUUCAUUUCUCCAAUCGUUUUUGAAGAAGCUGAGUGGAUUCACACAACACCAGUGGUGAUAAAAAGGAAUCCAUGCUGCAAUUCAUGUAAGAACCCAAUUCGGUUUUUUGUUCAAUGCUGAAAAAACUUUAGGCACGCAUCUGAGAUCAGCUUCAUGCAAAAUCGACAUUAUUCGCAUGUUAUUAAUUUGUGUUACAACUAAAGGACCUUUUCAGAUGUAACGCUCAUUUAUUUGUAAUGCGUGUCUUGCCAUAACCCAUCAAAGUAAUCAACAGUGUUCCUAAAAUACUUUCAUCGUCGAUAUAAUUUUUCCGUUGAAGUGGUCCCUUAAGUUUUAAAAAUUGAAAGUAGCGAAAAAUAACUAAAUCAAAUAGAACAAACGAAAUUUAAAAAAAAAAAAUUGGGGCGCAAAAAUAAAAAAGAGUAGAUGCAAAUAUAAAAAUAUUGAAUAAAAAAUUAAAUUAAAAAUACAAAAAGAAAAAAAAGAAAAAAUAAAAAAAUGGAAAAAAGUUUAAAAAAAAUUAAAAUAACGAAAGAGAAAAAUGAAAAAAGACAAAUAUUAUUUAUUUUAAAUGUUGGAAUUGCAAAAUACGGCAUUAAUUGUUAAAAAUCGAAAGAAUAUGAGAAUGUAAAAAAAUUAUUAAGACUACCAAAACUUCUUAAUAAAAUUAUAAUCAUUCAAUAAAACCUGGAGAAGUGAAAUUAAAAAAAACUCAAAAUAGAAAUUUAUUAAAUUGAAUAAAUUUUAAAAAAUACAAUGAAAAAACACAAAAAUACCAAUAUAAAAAAAUACUGAAAAAAUAAAAAAAAAAUUAUUGAAGUAUUAAAAACAAAAAAAUUUCGGUGUAAAAUAUUGGAAUUUAUAAAUGGGUUAAGCUGCACAAGGUCAAUAAAAAUAUUAGAACUAGAAAAAAAUGUUGACAACUAAUCAACAUUCUUAAUAACAUUAAAAACAUUUCAAGAAAUCUGAAGAUCUUAAGUUUUAAAAAUUGAAAGUAGCGAAAAAUAACUAAGUCAAAUAGAACAAACGAAAUUAAAAAAAUGGGACCCAAAAAUAAAAAAGAGUAGAGGCAAAUAUAAAAAAUAUUGAAUGAAAAAUUAAAUUAACGAUAAUAUACAAAAAAUUAAAUUAAAAAUACAAAAAGAAAAAAAGAAAAAAGAUAAAAAUGGAAAAAAGUUAAGAAAAAAAAUUAAAAUAACAAAAGAGAAAAAUGAAAAAAAGACAGAAAUAUUAUUUAUUUUAAAUGUGCUGAAAAAAUCGCAAAAUAUUGAAAAAUGUUGGAAUUGCAAAAUACGGCGUUAAUUGCUAAAAAUCGAAAGAAUAUGAGAGUGUAAAAAUUUUUUUAAGACUACCAAAACUUCUUAAUAAAUUUAUAAUCAUUCAAUAAAACCUGGAGAAGUGAAAUUAAAAAAAACUCAAAAUAGAAAUUUAUUAAAUUGAAUAAAUUUAAAAAAAUACAAUGAAAAAACACAAAAAUGCCAAUAUAAAAAAAUGAGCUAAAAAAAUUUAAAUAUUGGAAUACAUAAAAAGCAACACAAUAAAUAAAUAAAAAAAUAUAUCAAAAAAUUUAAAAUAAAAUAGAAAGAAAAAGCAUAAAAAAUAGUGCAACAGCGGGAAAAAUUGCAAAAAAACUAGAACAAUUGGCCGAAAACUAACAUUGAAAACAUUUAAGAACUAAAGUUUAAAAUAAAAAUUAAAACUGAAAUAAAAAUAAA
This is an RNA transcript of Topomyia yanbarensis, 22386 nucleotides long. RefSeq lists it as uncharacterized. Lineage: Eukaryota; Metazoa; Arthropoda; Insecta; Diptera; Culicidae. The transcript has 3 exons. The record is from RefSeq and is a predicted model, not a curated record.